RNAcentral lists this ribosomal RNA (274 nucleotides) under Listeria monocytogenes. RNAcentral describes it as "partial 16S ribosomal RNA". It matches the Rfam family "Bacterial small subunit ribosomal RNA", at positions 785 to 1057 of the family's 1533-position model. The record is from RNAcentral. Lineage: Bacteria; Bacillati; Bacillota; Bacilli; Caryophanales; Listeriaceae.
CCCUGGUAGUCCACGCCGUAAACGAAGAGUGCUAAGUGUUAGGGGGAUUCCGCCCCUUAGUGCUGCAGCAAACGCAUUAAGCACUCCGCCUGGGGAGUACGACCGCAAGGUUGAAACACAAAGGAAUUGACGGGGGCCCGCACAAGCGGUGGAGCAUGAGGUUUAAUUCGAAGCAACGCGAAGAACCAUACCAGGUCUUGACAUCCUUUGACCACACUGGAGACAGAGCUUUCCCUACGGGGACAAAGUGACAGGUGGUGCAUGGUUGUCGUCA